This 323-nucleotide ribosomal RNA is filed under the name uncultured bacterium. RNAcentral's name for it is "bacterial SSU rRNA". It matches the Rfam family "Bacterial small subunit ribosomal RNA", at positions 28 to 334 of the family's 1533-position model. The record is from RNAcentral.
GAUGAACGCUGGCGGCGUGCUUAACACAUGCAAGUCGAGCGAGAAACUACUUAAUGAAUCUUCGGAUGAUUUAAGUAGUGGAAAGCGGCGGACGGGUGAGUAACGCGUGGGUAACCUGCCCUAUGCAGGGGGAUAACACACUGAAAAGUGUGCUAAUACCGCAUAAGACCACAACAUCACAUGAUGUAGGGGUAAAAACUCCGGUGGCAUAGGAUGGACCCGCGUCUGAUUAGCUAGUAGGUAAGGUAACGGCUUACCUAGGCGACGAUCAGUAGCCGACCUGAGAGGGUGAUCGGCCACAUUGGGACUGAGACACGGCCCAA